This 1200-nucleotide unclassified non-coding RNA is filed under the name Hevea brasiliensis (rubber tree). Lineage: Eukaryota; Viridiplantae; Streptophyta; Magnoliopsida; Malpighiales; Euphorbiaceae. The record is from RNAcentral.
CUGUUGGUAUUGGCAUCUUUGAGGCAGUGGCUCUCUCUUUGGGAUGUGGACCAUUUCUUAACUUGAUGGGCAUAAAAUUGGAUUCACCGAUGCGGGUACCUGCAGAACGAUUUCUUUCACUAAGAGCCCUUGGUGCUCCUGCAGUUGUAGUGUCUUUAGCUCUUCAAGGCAUUUUCCGGGGCUUCAAGGAUACAAAGUCUCCUGUUUAUUGUUUAGCCCGGGGUAAUUUAUCAGCCGUAUUUUUAUUUCCCAUACUCAUGUAUUAUUUUAAGUUGGGUGUAAUUGGAGCUGCAAUUUCCACUGUCAUUUCUCAAUAUAUUGUCACCUUCUUAAUGAUUUGGGAUCUAAAUAAGAGGGUUAUAUUAUUGCCUCCGAAGAUGGGAGCCUUGCAAUUUGGUGUCUAUUUGAAAUCUGGUGGUUUUCUUAUUGGAAGAACUCUUGCUGUAUUAACAACGAUGACAUUAGCGACUUCAAUGGCUGCUCGUCAAGGUCCUGAAGCCAUGGCUGCACAUCAGAUAUGCAUGCAAGUAUGGUUGGCUGUAUCUCUUCUUACAGAUGCACUUGCGGCAUCUGGUCAGGCUCUGACUGCGAGUUAUUUCUCAAAGGGCAACUACAAAUAUGUGAAAGAAGUUACGAACUUUGUGUUGAAGAUUGGUCUGCUCACUGGUGCUUCCUUGGCUGCAAUUCUGGGUAUUUCUUUUGGUUCCAUUGCCACCCUGUUUACCAAGGAUACUGAAGUAUUAAGCAUUGUCAGAAUGGGAGUAUUAUUUGUUAGUGUUAGUCAACCUAUGAAUGCCCUAGCAUUUAUUUUUGAUGGUCUUCAUUAUGGUGUUUCCGACUUCCCAUAUGCAGCACGUUCUAUGAUGUUGGUUGGAGCAAUAUCUUCCGUCUUUUUACUCUAUGCUCCACCAGUUAUUGGCCUUCCUGGGGUUUGGUUGGGCUUGGCUCUCUUUAUGGGCUUGCGUACAGCAGCAGGAUUUAUCAGAUUACUAUCAAAAUCCGGUCCAUGGUGGUUCCUGCACAAAGACUUGCACAGUGCUCAACUUGCUAGUUGAGAUGUGAACACUACAGAAUCAAUUGGUAGACUAUUGGGGAAUGCUCUCAGACUAAGCUUUAGAGUAUUUCGUCCUCAUUCACUGGUCAACAAUUUUGACUAUCAGCUACUUCAGCAUAAUUGAAUGAUGUUGAAAGAAUUCCUCC